Sceloporus undulatus (fence lizard) is the source of this 3341-nucleotide long non-coding RNA. RefSeq lists it as uncharacterized. Lineage: Eukaryota; Metazoa; Chordata; Lepidosauria; Squamata; Phrynosomatidae. The transcript has 3 exons. The record is from RefSeq and is a predicted model, not a curated record.
AGCCACAGACGCUAGCGAAAUGUCAGGAAUAAACUUUUCUAGAACAUGGCCGCAGAGCCCGAAAAACCCACAAAAAAACUAUGGAUACCAGCCACGAAAGCAUUUGACUCUGGACUGUCUUUAGCUUCCGGAGAAUAUAUGCUUCGUUUGGCAUUUCGUGCAAAGGGCCAGGGAAAGGGUUGAACAUGUUAAGCAGAUAACUUGGUCUCUCUUUCACCCAACCCCACAUGAAAGGGGCCAGGAUAUUUAGGAAAAGACAACUCUACCACCCUCAAUACCAUCCCAUCCACUGUUUUGUUCAGACCCCCUUUUCCCCUUGAGAAGGUUGUAUCCAUCUUUUGGCUGUAUCCAUCCAAACCAUCUUUUCCUCUCACUCCUUCCUUAUCUGUUAGUCUAUUUCCAACUCCCUUUCCGCUGGCUGAAAUUACACUAAGGCACCUUGAAAUGGCCAAAGAAACCAAAGUUAGAUCUAUUUUCCAUUGCAUCUCAGCCCAUUUGAAUAAUAUUUGUUCCCCAUAAUUUCCAUUCUUCGUCAGUAUUAUUUAGUGAACCAGGCAUCUUUCUUUCCUUUGGGCACAUCUGCUCUUCACCGACUGCAGCUACAUAGUCUGUUUUCAAACUUUGUUAUAGCCUCCAUCCGGGACUGCAGUUGGCACUACUUGAAAUCGAAGUUGAGUAAAGGUGUGUAUUUUAGGGCAGCGCACUAAUGCCAAACAAGUUCAAGCCCCAUCAGCACAUCGCUGAUAUUUGAAAGGAGCAGGGCGUCCACUUCCAUUGCCAAGAACCUCACUGAAAAUAGAUUCUCCUAAGCCAAACCCAACUAUGCUUGCUAUUCACUGACCAUUGGAGAAAGCUCUUUGUACCCCUUGAGAAGUGUAGUCCACUUGCCGAUAUGCACCCAUCAGACAAAGAUAACCUUCUGGUCCUCGAGAUAUUUUGACAACUGUAAAGGACCCAGUUUGUUUGAGGCUGGCCCACCUCAGUAUGGGUGCGUUCUUUGUGGGAUCCUAACAUGUUCCAUCAGCCCUUUCACACUAUACAACUGUAGCACUUUUAAAUGUCUUCAGCAUCCUAAGGAGUCCUGGUAUUGGUGGUUUAGUGACCCAUAAGAGCUCUGUGGCUGAGAUUUCAGAAAACCCUUGGCUAAACUGCAAAUCCCAAGGUAUCAUAGGGCAGAACCAUGGCUGUUGAAAAGGAAUCAUAGUGCUCCAAUUGAGCAAAUUGUGAAAACUCUUAGCAGACAUCCUGAUCUGGUCACCUCUCCCUUCUCCAUGUUCUCUGAAUUUUAUCUGAAACCUGCCCUAUUCCGGAAGUCAACAAGAGCAAACCCUGUUGUUUGAAAUGAGCAGAUGCAUGGACUGUAUUGAUUUGAGGUCGAUUGGGGUUUUUUUUAAUGGUCUCCUCGAACAUCUUUAGGAAUGAAUAUAUUGAUUAUUGACCCCAGAGUGUGCUGCAGGAACUUAACUGACCCAAAGUCAUUAAGUACUUGAGAGUCACCCCAGUGCAUACUUUCUUCCGCCCCGUUCUCCAGCACCUAUACUUUCUGACCAAAUACCUGGCAUGGCACCAGAUCCACAUGCCACUCUGCCGCAUAGACGUUUCCAGCUUCGUUCCCUCCAGAGCCCCAGUUCUUGCAUAUAGGCUUGGCAUCCAGUGUUAAACCUAACCUGUUCUUAUAUGGUUUGCAUUACUCCGUCACCUCUUACUCUCACAGGACUUUGAUACUUUAUGAGUGGCUUCUUUGGUCAAGGGAUGAGCAGACUUAACCAUGAGUUGCCUUCGUCACCAUUGGGGUGUUUGCCUGCAGAGGGCAAGUAAAGCAAUACUCCUGCUUGAGUUCAGCCAGAGGGAAUGGGGUGACUGCUACCUUGUCCCACCUCUUUGGCUCUUCUUAAACUAUGUUUUCAGUGCUUGGCUUCUUGCUUCCGCCUCCCUUAUUGUUUUCAUCUUUCCAAUUCUGGUUUCCUUCCCUUGUUCCUCGAUAGGCUUUUACUCCCAAGAGGGUAUUGCUCAUGAAGAAGCUUCCUUAGGCUCAAAUGAAUGGGCCGCUGGCAUGCCUCUUUCCAUCUUCUAUCACCUCUCUCCCCAUCACAGACCCUGUUUCCAUAUGUGCAAGGUUUCAGCAUGGGGGGUUUUAAGGAGUCGUCGUAAGGAUGAGAGCAAGUCUAGCCUUUGUUUUUGGCGCCCUUGUUUCAUAGAAUAGAAUCAUAGAGUUGGAAGUGGCCAUCCAGUCCAACCCCUUGCCAUGCAGGAAAUCUAAAUCAAAGCGUCCCUGACAGAUGGCCAUCCAGCCUCUGUUUCAUAGAAGGAACACUUGGCAUUGGGCACAUUCCUUCUCCCUCUAAGACCAACACUUUAUACAACUUUCCUCUUCAGUCUUUAAUUCCUCUACCCCUUUACGGUGUCACAGUUGUCUUUUGCAAGGUGUGUGUGUGUGUGCAUAUUAGGCUGAAUUGUAAAACCUCAGUCCCUACUAGACGUCAACUACAGGUUAAGAGAAGGGAACAGAACAGGUUUUGAGAGGGGUGGCAUUGGGGGUGGCAAUGCAAGCCAGUGAUUCCGGAAGGAAGGCGAGCCCCCAAAUGGGGAAGCCGGGCCUUUUGCACCAUUUUAAGAGGGCUUUUUAUUUUUAUUUUUUGCAUUGUGUUUUUUGGAAUCCGGUUUAAAAAAAAGGAGGAAGAGGAGGAGGAGAAAAAAAAGCUGUUUAAAUAUUGCCAAUUGAUUAUGCAGUGACCUGAUUAAAAAAAAUAAAAUAAUAAUAAUAAUAAGCUAAUUUUUGGAGAAAGGAUUAAAAAAAACUUUGUAAUAUUUAUCACUUGCAAGCUAUGUUUAAUAAAGAAAGGAAUGGUUUAUACAUUUGGAUGUGGUGGACGUGUUGGAUUCUCUGUCUCGCCGUUGGUAUCAGUGGAGACGGGGGCAUCAUUUUGGAUUUCAAGAGGGAUUUCGUAUAUGGAUAUCUGGGUAUAAGACAGAUUUGUCCAGGAUGAAUUUCAGAAGUCACCCAUCGUAUUUGAGCAACGGUACCAGCCCCUGAAGACCCCAUCGCUUCCUCCUUUCUGGUGGCAAGAAGCCUGCAACUUUGGACACCUUCAUCCAUUGCAGGUCUAUUCGCAGCGGUUCGUCAGGAGCAAGAGGCCAGGUUUCCAGAAUCGGGAUGAAACCAAUUCCAAGCAUUAUAUUGUGAACUCCUCACUCUCUAAGCCAGCGGUUCUCAACCGGUGCAUCGCAAACUCUGUUGUCUCAGACCAUCGAAAAACACAUAUUUCCAAUGGUGCUAGGAACCGAGACACUGCAAUUUUAUGGUUGGGGUUCACCACAACAUGAGGAACUGUAUUAAAGGG